UAGUGAAUCUUCCGCAAUUGGCGAAAGCCUGACGGAGCAACGCCGCGUGAGUUAUGAAGGUCUUCGGAUCUUAAAACUCUGUUAUUAGUUAAGAACAAAUGUGUAAGUAACUAUGCACGUCUUGACUUUACCUAAUCAUAAAGCCACUGCUAACUACGUGCCAGCAGCCUCUGUAAUACGUAGGUGGCAAGCGUUAUCCGGAAUUAUUGUGCGUAAAGCGCGCGUAGGCGGUUUUUUAAGUCUGAUGUGAAAGCCCACGGCUCAACCGUGGAGGGUCAUUGGAAACUGGAAAACUUGAGUGCAGAAGAGGAAAGUGGAAUUCCAUGUGUAGCGGUGAAAUGCGCAGAGAUAUGGAGGAACACCAGUGGCGAAGGCGACUUUCUGGUCUGUAACUGACGCUGAUGUGCGAAAGCGUGGGGAUCAAACAGG
RNAcentral lists this ribosomal RNA (429 nucleotides) under Actinomycetes bacterium. Its description in RNAcentral is "Actinobacteria bacterium partial 16S ribosomal RNA". It matches the Rfam family "Bacterial small subunit ribosomal RNA", at positions 355 to 776 of the family's 1533-position model. The record is from RNAcentral. Lineage: Bacteria; Bacillati; Actinomycetota; Actinomycetes.